This is a long non-coding RNA of Saccostrea echinata, 263 nucleotides long. RefSeq lists it as uncharacterized. The record is from RefSeq and is a predicted model, not a curated record. The transcript has 2 exons. Lineage: Eukaryota; Metazoa; Mollusca; Bivalvia; Ostreida; Ostreidae.
GACCUUUUGACAUAUCAUUAUAAAUUAAUUUUUAACUUUUUUAUCCAAAGGGAAAGCUAGGCAUAAUGCAUACCAUUUUGUAGGGAAUUUUCCAGAGAUGAUAUUCCAUAGAUAUUCAGAUACCUCACGACUGACCUUACUACUGGAAAUAGAGGAAAUUUAGAAUAUACUCACAAAAGGGCAUUAUACUGAACUACAUUAUUCACAUAAACUUUUUUUUUUCAAUUCUGCAAAAUAAAGAUUUUAAAGAGGUUGCUAAACAA